This 403-nucleotide ribosomal RNA is filed under the name uncultured bacterium. RNAcentral's name for it is "partial 16S ribosomal RNA". It matches the Rfam family "Bacterial small subunit ribosomal RNA", at positions 28 to 526 of the family's 1533-position model. The record is from RNAcentral.
GACGAACGCUGGCGGCGUGCCUAAUACAUGCAAGUCGAACGCAGUGGGGACGGGUGAGUAACACGUGGGUAACCUCCCAUCAGAGGGGAUAACACUUGGAAACAGGUGCUAAACCGAUACUGAUGGAUGGACCCGCGGUGCAUUAGCUAGUUGGUGAGGUAACGGCUCACCAAUGCCACGAUGCAUAGCCGACCUGGGAUGGUGAUCGGCCAACCUGGGACUGAGACACGGACCAGACUCCUACGGAAGGCAGCAGUAGGGAAUCUUCGGCAAUGGACGAAAGGCUUACCGGGCAACGCCGCGUGAGGGAAGAAGGUUUUCGGAUCGUAAAACUCUGUUGUUAGAGAAGCGGUAUCUAACCAGAAAGCCACGGGUAACUACGUGCCAGCCGCCGCGGUAAUUC